This 465-nucleotide ribosomal RNA is filed under the name uncultured bacterium. RNAcentral describes it as "partial 16S ribosomal RNA". It matches the Rfam family "Bacterial small subunit ribosomal RNA", at positions 28 to 507 of the family's 1533-position model. The record is from RNAcentral.
GACGAACGCUGGCGGCGUGCUUAACACAUGCAAGUCGAACGGAAAGGCCCCUUUGGGGGUACUCGAGUGGCGAACGGGUGAGUAACACGUGAGUAACCUGCCCUUGACUUCGGGAUAACUUCAGGAAACUGGGGCUAAUACCGGAUAGGAAUCCUUGCUGCAUGGUGGGGGUUGGAAAGCUUCGGCGGUUUUGGAUGGACUCGCGGCUUAUCAGCUUGUUGGUGGGGUAGUGGCUUACCAAGGCUUUGACGGGUAGCCGGCCUGAGAGGGCGACCGGCCACAUUGGGACUGAGAUACGGCCCAGACUCCUACGGGAGGCAGCAGUGGGGAAUAUUGCACAAUGGGCGGAAGCCUGAUGCAGCAACGCCGCGUGCGGGAUGACGGCCUUCGGGUUGUAAACCGCUUUCAGCAGGGGCGAAGCUUGUGGUGACGGUAUCUGCAGAAGAAGCACCGGCUAACUACGUG